Molecule: long non-coding RNA, 1592 nt
Organism: Sapajus apella (tufted capuchin)
Lineage: Eukaryota; Metazoa; Chordata; Mammalia; Primates; Cebidae
Exons: 2
Source: RefSeq, a predicted model, not a curated record
UUCCUGUUGAUUUGACUUGAAUAUUAUUGAUACUAAUUUUUUGAAGAGAAAGCAUUGAUUUUGAUUUCAUUAUCCAUUAAUUUUUUACCUUGCAAUUUGUACUUUUGGAAUCUUGCUUUAAAAGUUGUUCCCUAUACCUAGAAUGUGAAAGUUUUCUCCUUGAACAUUUCUGCUUAUAUUUUACUUUUGAUAUUUAGGUCUUUAAUAUAUCUGGAUUUUACUUUUUAUAUAUGAUGGUAGAGAUCCAGCUUUUAUUUUUCUUCCAUAUAAAAAUCCAGUUAUCCCAAUAUUAUCUACUAAAUAACCGAUCCUUUUCUCACUGAUAUGUGGUGUCACCUUUAUCAUAUUUCAGUUCCCAUGUAUACCUCACUUGGUUCUGCAUUUCCUUGCUGUUUUUCUUAAUGCCAUAUUGUUUUUGUCGGUUGGUCUUUGUGUUAUAUCUGGUUAGUAGGUUGAGUUCCUGCUCUAGGAUUUUAUUGUUAUUAUAUUUUGUGUGCUUACUCUUUCCUAUGAAUUCUUAGAUUGUUUGAGGUCUUCAAAAAAUACACACACACAGACAUACACACAACUAGAGUUUUCCUUGAGAUUGCAUUAGAUUUAUAGAUUAACGUGGGGAAAAUGGACUUUUCUAAUAUUAUUGUCUUAUCUAUGAGCCUGGUAUAUCUCUGUAUUUUUUUUUUUUUUUUUCAGAUCUUCUUUUAUGUCCUUUAACACUGGUUUAAAUUAUUCUCUGUAAGUCCUAUCCUUUUUUGUUGAGUUAAUUGUGUUUUUAAGCUAUUGUGACAAGCAUUUUAUUUUAUAUUUUUCAAAUUGGGCAUAAAGGAGCAUUAUUAAGUCUGUCCCCUGAAUAUGUUGUUAUAGAAAAUUUCAAGCUUACAACAAAGUUUAAAAUUUUUUUCAAUGAACACUCAAAUAUCUCUACCCCUACGUCCUUCAAUUUACACUUUACUAUACUUAGUCUAUCACCUGUCUGUCUCUCCACCAAUCUGUCUUAAAUUUUUACUCAUUUGAAGGUAAGAUAUAUUAAUACAUUUCUCCCCCAAAGACUUUGGUAUGCAUAUCAUUAACUAGAGCUCAUUAUUUAUUGACAGAUUUCUUUCUUCUGAGAUAAAUUGUUAUACAGCAAAAUGUACAAAUCUUAAAACAUUCCAUUUGAAGAAUAAAUGCAUGCAUUUGUGCAAAAAUUAAACCCUUAGAAAACAUUACCAUUACCUCAGAAAAUUCUCGAAUGUUCCUUGCAAGGCCCUUCCCUCCCUGAGUCUCCACCCAAAAAGAGAAGGAGAGAGAUAAGAUGGAAAUAAAACAAUGAACAGAGAAGAAAUGACUAGAAACAAGAUGGAGAUUUAUAAGUGAUAAAAAGGGGCAUUAUAAGCAAUAUAGAUUAAUAUAUCUUAAAAUGCUGCUGCUGCAGCUCUUUACUUUUUUUUUUUUAAGUCAGGAAAUGAAUAAAAUAUUUUGCUUCCCCUCUUCCUUCCUAGUUUUCUUUAGUGGUUCUCAAAAAUGGAAAGAUCUUUUGUUGGACUACUUCCAGCCUUUUAUUUGAAAGGUUUACCAUAGGAGGGGAAGAUAACAGGAAUGUGAGAGAGAGAGAG